CCUACGUGAGGCAGCAGUCGAGAAUCAUUCACAAUGGGCGAAACUCUGAUGCUGCGACGCCGCGUGGGGGAAUGAAGGUCUUCGGAUUGUAAACCCCUGUCAUGUGGGAGCAAAUUAAAAAGAUAGUAUUACAUGAGGAAGAGACGGCUAACUCUGUGCCAGCAGCCGCGGUAAUACAGAGGUCUCAAGCGUUGUUCGGAAUCACUGGGCGUAAAGCGUGCGUAGGCUGUUUCGUAAGUCGUGUGUGAAAGGCGCGGGCUCAACCCGCGGACGGCACAUGAUACUGCGAGACUAGAGUAAUGGAGGGGGAACCGGAAUUCUCGGUGUAGCAGUGAAAUGCGUAGAUAUCGAGAGGAACACUCGUGGCGAAGGCGGGUUCCUGGACAUUAACUGACGCUGAGGCACGAAGGCCAGGGGAGCGAAAGGGAUUAGAUACCCGAGUAGUC
RNAcentral lists this ribosomal RNA (446 nucleotides) under uncultured bacterium. Its description in RNAcentral is "partial 16S ribosomal RNA". It matches the Rfam family "Bacterial small subunit ribosomal RNA", at positions 338 to 795 of the family's 1533-position model. The record is from RNAcentral.